This 433-nucleotide ribosomal RNA is filed under the name uncultured bacterium. RNAcentral's name for it is "partial 16S ribosomal RNA". It matches the Rfam family "Bacterial small subunit ribosomal RNA", at positions 29 to 507 of the family's 1533-position model. The record is from RNAcentral.
AACGAACGCUGGCGGCAGGCCUAACACAUGCAAGUCGAGCGAGGACUUCGGUCCUAGCGUCGGACGGGUGAGUAACGCGUGGGAACGUGCCCUUUGCUUCGGAAUAUCCCUGGGAAACUGGGAGUAAUACCGGAUGAGCCCUUUUGGGGAAAGAUUUAUCGGCGAAGGAUCGGCCCGCGUUGGAUUAGGUAGUUGGUGGGGUAAUGGCCUACUAAGCCGACGAUCCAUAGCUGGUUUGAGAGGAUGAUCAGCCACACUGGGACUGGGACACGGCCCAGACUCCUACGGGAGGCAGCAGUGGGGAAUCUUAGAAAAUGGGGGAAACAAUGAUCUAGCCAGGACGCGUGAGCGAUGAAGGCAUUAGGGUUGUAAAGCUCUUUCAGCUGGGAAGAUAAUGACGGUACCAGCAGAAGAAGCCCCGGCUAACUCCGUG